AGCAGCCGCGGUAAUUCCAGCUCCAAUAGCGUAUAUUAAAGUUGUUGCAGUUAAAAAGCUCGUAGUUGAAUUUCGGGGUUAGUAGGUUGGUCAUGCCUCUGGUAUGUACUGGUCUCACUGAUUCCUCCUUCCUGAUGAGCCGUAAUGCCAUUAAUUUGGUGUUGCGGGGAAUUUGGACUGUUACUUUGAAAAAAUUAGAGUGUUUAAAGCAAGCUAACGCUUGAAUACAUUAGCAUGGAAUAAUGAAAUAGGACGUUCGAUCCUAUUUUGUUGGUUUCUAGGAUUGACGUAAUGAUUAAUAGGGAUAGUUGGGGGCAUUAGUAUUCAAUUGUCAGAGGUGAAAUUCUUGGAUUUAUUGAAGACUAACUACUGCGAAAGCAUUUGCCAAGGAUGUUUCCAUUAAUCAAGAACGAAAGUUAGGGGAUCGAAGACGAUCAGAUACCGUCGUAGUCUUAACCAUAAACUAUGCCGACUAGGGAUCGGAUGAUGUUAAUUUUUUAAUGACUCAUUCGACGCCUUACG
This 522-nucleotide ribosomal RNA is filed under the name uncultured Glomus. RNAcentral describes it as "SSU rRNA". It matches the Rfam family "Eukaryotic small subunit ribosomal RNA", at positions 569 to 1092 of the family's 1831-position model. The record is from RNAcentral. Lineage: Eukaryota; Fungi; Glomeromycota; Glomeromycetes; Glomerales; Glomeraceae.